This is a long non-coding RNA of Synchiropus splendidus (mandarinfish), 1737 nucleotides long. RefSeq lists it as uncharacterized. NCBI's taxonomy places the organism in Eukaryota, Metazoa, Chordata, Actinopteri, Syngnathiformes, Callionymidae. The record is from RefSeq and is a predicted model, not a curated record. The transcript is spliced from 3 exons.
GACUUCAGAUCUAUUCUUUGAAAAGAGACGUGUGCCUCUCAACAAAAUGAGCAAGGAUUCAGCAUGUGCGCAUGCGACUGUGGUGGCAGAUUGUUGACAAAAUUACUCUGGCACCAGUUUCUAUAAGGUUGGAACAAAAACGGCGCCCACUGCGGCCCUUUCUGGAACAGUUUGGACACCCCUGCUGUAGACUACUUCAUCCAGGUAAUGAUCCAGCUUCAGACACCACAAGAACUGCGCCUGUGAAGUAUAUGCCCAGCGUCCCAUUCUAUGACCAAUGGAUAUCUCCCAGUAGAAGCAUCAGUUGCAGUAAGUGCAGUUUUAAUAUUGUCAUCAUACCAGAGAACACCAAACCACCAUGUACAUUAAUGCAACUUUAUUGACAUGUAGACGGCUACUACUGACUAAGGUUGGCUUUGUGCAUCACACCAAAGAGAUCAAAAUACACAUUAGAUGCUCUGUUGGCCAGAUACCAAGGGUUGCAUUUUUAUAUUGACAUACAAAGAAUAUGAAAACAGAGGUACACCAAAGUACCCAUAGAAAGGAAUCUGGCAGACAAUGACAAGAAGACAUGUGUUGCUGUGUCCGAGUUCUUCAUGCUUUUAUUUUGGUGAUUUCCAGUUGUGUCUCGUUUCCGUUUCCUUGUUUUUUCCACACCUUUCGAGCAACACGUCUGACAUUCAACAGCUAAUCAUGUCUUCAUGGAUAUCGACGCCUCUGUGCCAGGACUUGUCGCCAGAUGGUUACUUCACGUUCCUACGGUAAACUCUUCCAAGACUCCACUCUCUCGUUUUGCCUCUCUGAAUAUUCUAAAUUCUGUCCGCGCUUGAUUCCCUUUUCAGCCGCCUCCUUCACUCUCGUUCUUCUCGCUUUGUGUCUGUUUCCACAAUUAUUUUCCUGUCGCUCCAUGAGUGUUAUGUAAAUCUCACUUUUGUUUUUCUGAUAGUUAGCGUUAUUUCCUCAUGUGUGUUUGUGUUUUCCACCACCGAGCGGUUUCUGUUGAUUGGGCCUCGCGAGUUGUGUGUAUUUCCUGGUCCGUGUUCUGGUUCUGGCGUCCUUGGUUCAUCAUAUCUGUACAACUGUGUAUAACUUUGUCAUUGUUUGUUAUAUCUUCACACAGAAAGCCAUGACAAAAGAAUUAAUAAACAAAUGUGACGAUUCACUCUAGUGGACACUGACUGAAGUUUUGUUUUCUUCAUGACAGUUUCACUGAAAUGGUGAGAGCUGUAGAGACAUUGAAAAAUCAAAGCUGCCAGUUUCACACCCUCAUUUCUUCCAUGUGGUUUUCAAUUAAGCUUUGACUGACUUGUGUCAUUUCACAAGGAUUGUUGAAGCGUUGAUGAUGAUGGUAACUGACUCUAAUAGCAAAGGUCAGCAGAGCUCCACCAUAUCAAACUCUCUAUUCAGUUUCACGUAAUUCAUUUCCCACUGAGCUUCUGUCAAAGAGAGCAUUGGAAACUCUGUUUUUGAUGACAUGGUGAUUAUCGAUUGAUUGAAAUUGAUCUAAACACUGACCUUCUGUGGGAAGCUUGUAUUGUGCUCUAUUGUUUCAUUGUUUCACUUUCAUUGCUUCCCAAAUUUCCAGUCAAGCUAAGCCUGUUUCUUUUUUUUUGUUUGUUUGUUUUUUAAGGUUUAACGGUCAUGAGUGUGUCCAAAAAAGUGAACAUGUAGGAAUGUUUGGCUCUUAGUCUCUUAGCCUGAAAGUCUGAUAGGUGGCGCUCUUGAUUUACAAAAAUA